UGUGAGAUAACUCUGGUUAAGGAACUCGGCAAAAUGCCUCCGUAACUUCGGGAGAAGGAGGACCUCGUUAGGGUGAUGGCACUUGCUGCCGGAGCUCGAAGAGGUGGCACAAAAUUGUGGGAAGCGACUGUUUACUAAAAACACAGCAGCGUGCGAAGCCGUAAGGCGCUGUAUACGCUGUGACGCCUGCCCGGUGCUGGAAGGUUACGGGGAAGGGUUAGCCCUCGGGCGAAGCUCUGAACCUAAGCCCCAGUAAACGGCGGCCGUAACUAUAACGGUCCUAAGGUAGCGAAAUUCCUUGUCGGGUAAGUUCCGACCUGCACGAAUGGCGUAACGACUUCCCAACUGUCUCAACCAGAGACUCAGCGAAAUUGAAGUACGAGUAAAGAUGCUCGUUAGCUGCAGAAGGACGGAGAGACCCCGUGGACCUUUACUAUAACUUGAUGUUGGGGUUUGUCAUGCGUUGUGUAGGAUAGGUGGGAGACUAGGAAGCAUUGGCGCCAGCUAGUGUGGAGUCAUCCUUGAAAUACCACCCUGCGUAUGGCGAGCCUCUAACCCAGACCCGUUAUCCGGGUCGGGAACAGCGUCAGGCGGGUAGUUUGACUGGGGCGGUCGCCUCCUAAAAUGUAACGGAGGCGCCCAAAGGUUCCCUCAGCCUGGUUGGCAAUCAGGCGUCGAGUGCAAUGGCAAAAGGGAGCUUGACUGCGAGACUGACAGGUCGAGCAGGAGCGAAAGCUGGGCAUAGUGAUCCGGCGGUUGCGUGUGGAAGCGCCGUCGCUCAACGGAUAAAAGGUACCCCGGGGAUAACAGGCUAAUCUUCCCCAAGAGUCUAUAUCGACGGGAAGGUUUGGCACCUCGAUGUCGGCUCAUCGCAUCCUGGGGCUGAAGCAGGUCCCAAGGGUUGGGCUGUUCGCCCAUUAAAGCGGUACGCGAGCUGGGUUUAGAACGUCGUGAGACAGUUCGGUCCCUAUCCUCUGUAGCCGCAGGUAGAUUGAGGAAAGCUAUCCCUAGUACGAGAGGACCGGGAUGGACGUAGCUCUCGUGUGCCAGUUGUCCUGCCAAGGGCAUGGCUGGUUAGCGACCUACGGACGAGAUAACCGCUGAAAGCAUCUAAGCGGGAAGCUUCUUCCAAGAUGAAUCUACCCACAGGGUUAACCUGGUAAGGCCCGUGGCAUACCACCACGUUGAUAGGCCGGAAGCGUAAGCGCAGUAAUGCGUUCAGCUGACCGGUACUAAUCGGCCGAGGGCUUGGGUU
Molecule: ribosomal RNA, 1255 nt
Filed under: metagenome
Description: bacterial LSU rRNA
Rfam family: Bacterial large subunit ribosomal RNA
Source: RNAcentral